This 370-nucleotide small RNA is filed under the name Arabidopsis thaliana (thale cress). RNAcentral describes it as "ATSL284380". Lineage: Eukaryota; Viridiplantae; Streptophyta; Magnoliopsida; Brassicales; Brassicaceae. The record is from RNAcentral.
GUUUUUUGUUUGAAAAAGCAUGAGAUCCAAAAAUUAGACAUUUACAUAGAAUUUCCAAAAAUAUAUUCAUACCGAUUUUCCUACUCAUCAUUUCCAAUCUCCAUUAUCGAGAUUUUCUUCCUAAAUUUGUUAGAGAUAAUGAUGGAAGGGUAAAAGCGUCAUUCCGUAGUCAUAUAAAUGGGGUUUUUCGAAGCAUUGCGGCAAUGUACCACUUUGGAAAAGAUUUUAACAUUUCAGUCCCUUUCUCACAAUUAAUUCUAUAAAUUAUUGAGUUAAAUUUUCUAAAACAAAAAUUUAUAUAAUAAGACACUUUUUUUUGUCGGAAAUUUAUGGACACUUUUGUUGGCAAUAUUUUUUUUUGGCUUUUUUU